GGCUCGGUAGUUUAGUUGGUAAAGCGCUCGUCUAGCAUACAAGAGUCCUGGGUUCAAAUCCCAGCCGAGCAC
This is a non-coding RNA of Aedes aegypti (yellow fever mosquito), 72 nucleotides long. The record is from Rfam. Lineage: Eukaryota; Metazoa; Arthropoda; Insecta; Diptera; Culicidae.